ACGUGUUCCUGGGGGGACCGUAUGCAGUGUUUUCCAAGGAUAACAAAGGGGGUUUUGCCAGGGUGGGGCUGACCCAUUGCACUCUGGGUGCACUCACCCCUGCGAUUUCCCUAGGGUGGGAAACACGGCCGCAUCGUUUGUGGUAGCGGGGGACGGUGGGCACGCUUUCCCCUG
This is a small nuclear RNA of Ailuropoda melanoleuca (giant panda), 174 nucleotides long. Its record names the gene U1. It matches the Rfam family "U1 spliceosomal RNA". From Rfam's summary of the family: U1 is a small nuclear RNA (snRNA) component of the spliceosome (involved in pre-mRNA splicing). Its 5' end forms complementary base pairs with the 5' splice junction, thus defining the 5' donor site of an intron. The record is from Ensembl. Lineage: Eukaryota; Metazoa; Chordata; Mammalia; Carnivora; Ursidae.